GAUCGCACACAGAAAGAGCGCGCUAACAGAUGAGACGUGUUUGUAAGCGAAUCUGCAAAAUAGCUUUUUGCAUAAUCUUUAAUCAUAAUUCGGGAAUAAGCACACGCUCCUUUGUUUGCCUUGGAGAUGGCAACAAUGCUCUGAACAGGACAUAAAUGAAAAGAGUUUUCUUUUUUCCCCAUGAUUUUUAACAUUUUUAUUCCAUGGAAUACGUGCGAAGCCUGUUUGCAGAUGCUUCAGAAGAAUGGCUCUUGUUGCAUCCCGUCUGGAUCCCCAUUUUGUCUAGCCAUCAGCCUGUCUGCAAAGACGACAGCCAACGCUGAAAAGGGUCCAAGUGAAGACAAAGCUAGGCUCAAGAGAAUAUGUUGCGGAGGCAACGCUCCCGCCUGCUAGCGUCUCAUAGCUGCCUACGGUCAAACUGGUGUCAAGAUGUUGCCCCAUGCUGAAGGAAGCUCGUAUGUGGCUGUAUUGGGGACUCAGGCAGGCAGCGGAGCUCCAUUUCCCCGCCACAGGCCACAGACUCAUCUUCUCCUUGCUCCUCCCACCGCCCGUCUUCCCCCCACCUCACGGGGCUGGUCGCCAUUCCCUGAGAGCCAGUCACCCUGUGGGGGAUGGAUAAAAGUGCAGAUCAUUUACGGCUGGAUCAUCAACUGGACUACGGAGGCUCGCUAUCAGCCUGACAUAAAGGAAUCCGAAAGGACCUAUCAGCGGGUGGCUAUCAGCAGCCUCGAGGGGUGGUAAACAUCAGUAGGCCCUCAAGAAACUCUCAGGAUGAACUGUACAUGCAGCUACCCUAUAUGAAGAAGGCCAAGUGACAUCAUCAUCAUUUUUACGGCUAAAUGAUGUCUUUAUUUCCGUUUGCUGCUCCCGGACAGUGACAGCGACAGGAGGGAAGCCACACAAGAGGAGAAGAGUCCGGGUGCCAAACACAAACACUAUACUGUGUGUGCAAUUCGAUUUGAGUUUUUGCUGGACUGAGACAAAGUCAAGUAAAUUUGUCCUUUCAUUUGUAUUUAACAAUAUUAAAAAAAAUUCAGAGUUUGGUUUUCUGUAUUUAACAUGUGUUAACAAUAACCAGUGUUGACUACUGAAAAGCAUGUGUUUUCUGUCCUUAAUUACAUCAGUGGUUUGAUUCCUUUAUUUUGUUGUGGGAAUACGUAAUAAAACAACAGUAAUGUAUUUUUUAUCAUCAAGUUAGCCUUUGUUGAGUUCUACCAAACAGUUGAUAAAAACCCCUGCAGCCACAUACCCUGAGAAGACAAUGCAAACAAACUCUUAAUGAACACGAGGAAUCACAGCCAAAUAAAAGAAUAAUAAAGGCGUCAAAAGCUUAACAAGUUUGCCUUUGUUCUUCUUCCACUCCACCCACUGAGUGAAAAGCAGGCAGCUCUCAGGGCAGCUCGGAGAGUUCCAUGCCCAUCGGCCCUCAAUCACAUGGGAUGUCUGAGUUUGACAGUAUAAAGUAUUUCUUCUGAAACAAAAUAAGAGCCCUAAGCAAUGGUGGAUGAGCUGUUAGUAACCACGGAGUCCAUGGGGAGGGAGACUAAGCAUGAUAGUUCACUGUAUACAAAGUGUUGGUUAGGGAUAAGACAAUGGACCAGGAAAACAACACAUCAUAGGAUGCUGCAAUACUCUUAACUUUCUUGCACUGCUACUGCUUGUGGUCCAACAACCUGAUGCAAACGUCAUGAGAGUGAAGAAGAGCUGACUAGACUUAAUUCCAGCCUUGUAAGAAGAGGACACCGUCGGCUGAAUCAAUAAGCAGCAUUAAUACUAGCACGGCUGUCAAUAUGCUCUACUUAAGGUGUGAGGUUAACUGAAAACAAUGAUAUCAAACGAGCAGGCCGCUACCACGCCAGCGUGUCACCGCAUGAACUCCUCCAGCUGUGGGUGGUUAACGAACGCAUGACUGACACGUCUGUCGAUAUUUCAACAUAAGUUAAUAUUUAAACAUGGUGUAUUCCUUCGAGUAACGAGCUGAGGGUGUGCGUCUCAUGGGCGCCCCAGUGGAUGACAGUGGUCUUAUUUAUGUAACAAUGUUCUGUGAGCUACUCAGCUUAUUACAUAGACUUGACUGUAGGUCUAUAAAUACAAUGAAUAAAGCAACAUUGUCGUUGAGGAUAACUUAUUUUGGAUGAAUGUAUCUUAAGGUCAGAAGAUGUUGUAAUGUUGCUAUCAUAUUAAUGAGCAUCCUAGUAUUUGGCCAGCACAGCCUUUGCUGUGUUGGAUUAUUUGUAACUUGCCAACAUGUGUACAACUGCAGUCAAAAUGAUUCAAGCACUACAAAUUGAAUUUAUUUGCAAAAUGUAUGGAGAGUAAUCCCUCGUUUAUCGCAGUUAGUUGUUUCCAGACCCACCCAUGAUGCGUGAAUUUCCGUGAAGUAGAAUUCCUAAUUUAUAAACACUUGUUUAUGACCUUGCCAUGACGGUUUUUAACUUCAUUACACCCAGAUAGUCACCUUCACACUUCACACACACAAAUAAGACUCAUACUUAUGUGUGUUGCUGUAAAUGUGUUCCGGUGGCUGGGACAGGAAAUGACAUCAGGGGUUCAGAGUUUCGUUUUAGUUUGGCUUGGGUUACCGCCACAACAAUAACCCAUGUGUUUUUUAGGGAUUUUUUUUUUAUCUGUUGUGAGCUCAUUCAAACCUUCAA
This is a long non-coding RNA of Dunckerocampus dactyliophorus (ringed pipefish), 2654 nucleotides long. RefSeq lists it as uncharacterized. Lineage: Eukaryota; Metazoa; Chordata; Actinopteri; Syngnathiformes; Syngnathidae. The transcript is spliced from 7 exons. The record is from RefSeq and is a predicted model, not a curated record.